CAGUCGCCACGGGAAUACGUAGGUGGCAAGCGUUGUCCGGAAUUAUUGGGCGUAAAGGGCUCGCAGGCGGUUUCUUAAGUCUGACGUGAAAGCCCCCGGCUCAACCGGGGAGGGUCAUUGGAAACUGGGAAACUUGAGUGCAGAAAAGGAGAGUGGAAUUCCACGUGUAGCGGUGAAAUGCGUAGAGAUGUGGAGGAACACCAGUGGCGAAGGCGACUCUCUGGUCUGUAACUGACGCUGAGGAGCGAAAGCGUGGGGAGCGAACAGGAUUAGAUACCCCCGUAGUCCCUGUCUCUUAUAC
This 301-nucleotide ribosomal RNA is filed under the name uncultured bacterium. RNAcentral describes it as "partial 16S ribosomal RNA". It matches the Rfam family "Bacterial small subunit ribosomal RNA", at positions 509 to 807 of the family's 1533-position model. The record is from RNAcentral.